UGAUUGAUAAUCAGUGCUAAAUUAUUCCAGAAAAGCAGUAUUCUAAUUAUCAACGAUGUCAUUUUUCUUGUAUUAAUUAUUACAGGUCUGGAACAUUCCUUAGGCUGUGGUUCGUAAAACAAAUGGCCAUGGUCUGUACACCUAAAUACCUCAUUAUGUUGACAUUGUUCAGGGCUUGUCAACGCUAAAUAUUUGUGAUAUUAUUACGUUCAGCAUAUAUGCAUAGCUUUAUUUACAGCUGCUGAACAGAGCACAGCAAUCUUAUUUCACCUUUUUACACUUUUAGCAUACGCAUGUGUCCAUUUUUCUUAGUACUUCUUAUUUGAUGUCUUACACAGUUAAGUGUGUAAUUGUUAAGUUUUUUUGUGUAGAAAAUUUUAUAUAUUUUAUGAUUAAUUAAUAAUAAUCUAUGAUCAUUACUUUGUUUGUAAAAGAGCAUGUUGUUAAUGGAAUCCCCUUUGUUCAUCACCUUGCAGAAUUUAUGUCUGUCAAGAAACGUUUAACCUUAUGUGGCAGGAUCAGGCUUCAGGGACAUAAAACUUACACAAGCUCACUUUUGAUCUCAGUCUCACUUCUACUACUGGAGGAUAAAGUGAAAAUGAUGGAGAUCAAAUAGGGAGUUGGUCUUAACUUUUUUGGUCUUGUGGCCAGAUUUCUGAUGUAAAGAAUGAUCCCAGGGCAGUUUUGUAAAAAUGAUUAUUCAGAGAAUAAUGUGAAAAGUAGACAUAUGACAAAAAGUUAUCUUCUGAUUUUGUAUGAAAAAAGUUUUUAAAAAGUCCACGAUCAGUGAAUACUGUAAAUCAACUAUUAUAACCGACAUCUUUUAUUCAUAUGUCAGUUUGAAAUCAAACUUUGAGACAGAUGAAACAUUCUUUAUAAGUGCAUUGCAAAUUAUUUGGUGUACAGCGAUUAAUAUUCGUGAAUUCAAGUAGGUUGCGAAACUUGAUGAUAUUUCUCACACAUUAAUAAAAGUUGGUUUACAGUACAUUAAUUCCAAGGUUGCUGGUCAACAAGCAUGAAAUUCUGAGGUGUACAUUGGAUGCUGCCCUAGACACCACAGGGUGUAAUGGAUAAUGAUGAUGAUUAUGGAUACUAACUACAGCUAGCUUGUCAAAAAGGGAGGAUAGUAGGACUGCAUGUUUGUUCUGUUCCUUUGUUUUUUGGGGAGUGAGUGUUUAGAUUUCAUAAAAAAUGUAUUUUACAUAUCGUUACAAAUGGGUUUUUCUGUUAUAAUUUUGUGUUGUAUGAUUUAUAGAUUAUUGUGUGUAGUUUUGUCUUGCUUAUUAAUUUAUGAUUUAAGCCAUAUGAUUAAAUACCAGAUGUAUUUAUUAGUUAGGAUAACUUGUUUUACUUUAUACAAAAAUUAUAUAUCUAUUACGAUUGUAUUAAAGUUUGCGGACAGACGAAA
Molecule: long non-coding RNA, 1408 nt
Organism: Saccostrea cuccullata (small rock oyster)
Lineage: Eukaryota; Metazoa; Mollusca; Bivalvia; Ostreida; Ostreidae
Exons: 2
Source: RefSeq, a predicted model, not a curated record